UGGGUAGGGGAGCGUCGUGUGCCGGGUGAAGCAGCGCCGGAAGGUAGUUGUGGACGGUUCACGAGUGAGAAUGCAGGCAUGAGUAGCGAUACACACGUGGGAAACGUGUGCGCCGAUUGACUAAGGGUUCCUGGGUCAAGCUGAUCUGCCCAGGGUAAGUCGGGACCUAAGGCGAGGCCGACAGGCGUAGUCGAUGGACAACCGGUUGAUAUUCCGGUACCCGCUUUGAAGCGCCAAACAUCGAAUC
This 247-nucleotide ribosomal RNA is filed under the name Streptomyces griseoflavus. RNAcentral's name for it is "partial 23S ribosomal RNA". It matches the Rfam family "Bacterial large subunit ribosomal RNA", at positions 1225 to 1471 of the family's 2925-position model. The record is from RNAcentral. Lineage: Bacteria; Bacillati; Actinomycetota; Actinomycetes; Kitasatosporales; Streptomycetaceae. RNAcentral also lists the same sequence under 2 other names.